CUUAACACUCCAAAGCUGCUACUCAUAUAAAACAGGAACAUCUGCACAUGCUCAGUCUCUUGUCAACAAAAUAAACUCAACCUUCAGAAACUGCUCAAAGAAAACUGUAAAAUUCACACAUAUCCAGUAGCUCUUUAGCUCUUACUUUAUCAUUAGCUCUGGAAGAAAUAUAAGAAAAUUUAUAGCAUACUUCUAAAGAAAUUAAAAUUUCCCAAAGAAUUUGGGAUAUGAAGAUGCUUAUACAAUAACUUGGGAAUUAAAUUUUCAAAGCAGUGUCAUUGUCAAGUUGUUGAGAAUUAGGUAGAAUAUUACCUUUUCUAUUUUAACAAGGAAAGGUGAUUUUUUCAGAAGAUUAGUUGUCACAGUGACUUCAGCUAAGCUGAUGGCUAGUUUGGUCUGAGGAAUGCUUGUCUGGGGCCAUGUUGAUGUGGUGGCCACCUGUUUGAUUGGUUUUUUGGCACUGUGGUGGAAUUGUUUAUAAGAAACCGUGCUGAACUGCAGAGAGCUUUCAGCAAGACUUUUAUUAAAGAGACAGGAGAGAAAAAAAUGCAGACAAGAAGAUCACAAAUGCAUCAGAUGGCAACGAGAAAGGGAUUCUGUUUCACCUUGACUCCUUGUUUCCACUAACAACCUCUCCUUUAUCUACAGCACUGAUUUUUUGCCUUCUGCUGUCUACUCUGCCCUCUUAACUCUAUGCAAUCCAUGUCUCUCAAGGCGCAGGAAACAACAGCCAAUAUUGCAGAACCUGAGGAUAUGAAAUUACUUCCUCCCUUCCCCUCAAAGAGAUCAAACAGUGGAAACUGGGACUUAUGGAUACUUCAGGCAUUUGCAAAUGAACAUGUAUGAAGAAAGAAGGAGCACCAUCUAACAGUCUUUUUAGACUGCUCUUUAUCAGGGUGCUCCUAUCUAAAGGGAUGUAAGACUGAACAGUCCUAGCCAGCAUGGGUAUGUGAAACCAGGUGCCUCUUGACCUAUCACCUCCUUCUAUGACAAUCUAGUGGAUUCUGUUUAGUGGAUGAGGGGGAGACUGUGGGUGAUGCCUCCCAGAUUGUUGUAGUCUUUGACACUGCCUCCCACAUAAUUCUCGACCAGAAAUUAGCUGCUCAUGAAUUGGAUAGAUGUGGUCUUCCCUGGGUGAAAAACUAACUGGAUGUCUCAGCCCUGAGAGUGGUGGUAAAUGGAGUUAAAUACAGUUGGUGACCAGUCACUAAGGACGCUCCCAAAGGCUCCCAAAGUAUUGGAGCCAGUCCUGUAUAAUAUCUUUCACUGAUAAUAUGGAUGCAGGGAUCAAGGGCACUCUCAGUAAAUUUGCAGAUGACAUGAAGCUGGCAGGAUGGAAGGACAUGGAGGGCAGGAAGGCUCUGCAGAGGGAUCUGGACAGGCUGGAUCAGUGGGUCAAGGACAAUUGUAUGAGGUUCAAGAAGG
Molecule: long non-coding RNA, 1425 nt
Filed under: Parus major (Great Tit)
Lineage: Eukaryota; Metazoa; Chordata; Aves; Passeriformes; Paridae
Description: lncRNA (ENSPMJG00000012842.1)
Source: RNAcentral